GUUUUUACACAGCUUCUUAUUUGGCUUGGGGGAUUUGCAGGCCAGUCUCGUGGGGAUGGUGAGCGGCAAGGCGGAGCUGAAGACGGACGUGCCCUUCACACUAGACGAUGGCAUCGACCGCAUAAAUUGUAUCAAAUUGUGCUACAUUGUUCUUCCCUGGAGGAAUUGGUGCAAAAUCUAUACCAAAACAAUUUCAAGUCCAGGACUAAAGGUUGGGUGGUUAGUCCGUGUUACUUGAGAUUGAAGUCUUUUAGCAGGAAUUACUUGGGUCCGUAUAGCUUCCUGGAAGGGUGCUGGUGUUGGAGACUAAAAUCAGCU
This 318-nucleotide ribosomal RNA is filed under the name Triticum aestivum (bread wheat). RNAcentral describes it as "partial small subunit ribosomal RNA". The record is from RNAcentral. Lineage: Eukaryota; Viridiplantae; Streptophyta; Magnoliopsida; Poales; Poaceae.